This 345-nucleotide ribosomal RNA is filed under the name Saccharomyces cerevisiae (brewer's yeast). Its description in RNAcentral is "eukaryotic LSU rRNA". It matches the Rfam family "Eukaryotic large subunit ribosomal RNA", at positions 67 to 409 of the family's 3401-position model. Lineage: Eukaryota; Fungi; Ascomycota; Saccharomycetes; Saccharomycetales; Saccharomycetaceae. The record is from RNAcentral.
AGCCGGGAUUGCCUUAGUAACGGCGAGUGAAGCGGCAAAAGCUCAAAUUUGAAAUCUGGUACCUUCGGUGCCCGAGUUGUAAUUUGGAGAGGGCAACUUUGGGGCCGUUCCUUGUCUAUGUUCCUUGGAACAGGACGUCAUAGAGGGUGAGAAUCCCGUGUGGCGAGGAGUGCGGUUCUUUGUAAAGUGCCUUCGAAGAGUCGAGUUGUUUGGGAAUGCAGCUCUAAGUGGGUGGUAAAUUCCAUCUAAAGCUAAAUAUUGGCGAGAGACCGAUAGCGAACAAGUACAGUGAUGGAAAGAUGAAAAGAACUUUGAAAAGAGAGUGAAAAAGUACGUGAAAUUGUU